GGCCUGCCAGACGGAGGCUCCUCCUGAGACGCAAGCCCAGCACUGUCACCUCAGACCCAGCCCAGACCCUCACCCACCACCCAUAGGAGUGGCCCAUGCGUCCCUGCUAGUCUCAACCCAACACAGAGAACUAAGAGGCCACAGUGGUGCCGCCCUGUGCCCUGAACACCACUGUCCCCUUCACUGUCUGUGUGUGAGGAAGACCACGCCGCGCCACCCUUCAACUCACUGGAAACCAGGGUGAGCUUGAGCCCUGUGGCCUGCUGCAGGGCCACGUGCAUGGUGGCCACCUCUUUGACGGGUCCAUCCUGGGGUCCUCUCCUUUCUGUGAAAGGAAUCAUGUGCGUGCCCCAGGCAUGUGUAAUAAAGAACCCGAUUGGA
Sapajus apella (tufted capuchin) is the source of this 381-nucleotide long non-coding RNA. RefSeq lists it as uncharacterized. Lineage: Eukaryota; Metazoa; Chordata; Mammalia; Primates; Cebidae. The transcript has 2 exons. The record is from RefSeq and is a predicted model, not a curated record.